Molecule: unclassified non-coding RNA, 329 nt
Filed under: soil metagenome
Description: partial contains 5.8S ribosomal RNA, internal transcribed spacer 2, and large subunit ribosomal RNA
Rfam family: 5.8S ribosomal RNA (bases 1-120)
Source: RNAcentral
GAUGAAGAACGCAGCGAAAUGCGAUACGUAAUGUGAAUUGCAGAAUUCAGUGAAUCAUCGAGUCUUUGAACGCACAUUGCGCCCCUUGGUAUUCCGAGGGGCAUGCCUGUUCGAGCGUCAUUAUAACCCCUCAAGCUCAGCUUGGUGUUGGGGCCUGCUGCACUGGCAGCCCUUAAAAUCAGUGGCGGCGCCAUCUGGCUCUAAGCGUAGUAAUUCUUCUCGCUAUGGAGUCCUGGUGGAUGCUUGCCAUCAACCCCCAAUUUUUCUAUGGUUGACCUCGGAUCAGGUAGGGAUACCCGCUGAACUUAAGCAUAUCAAUAAGCGGAGGA